Molecule: unclassified non-coding RNA, 284 nt
Filed under: Hevea brasiliensis (rubber tree)
Lineage: Eukaryota; Viridiplantae; Streptophyta; Magnoliopsida; Malpighiales; Euphorbiaceae
Source: RNAcentral
AUCCCCAUUUUAUCAGAGCAUCCAGCAAUUGCAUGUGGCUGGACCACAACGAGGUGACUCCCUGAAGCAGCCUCUUGCUUGUCGUGAUUCACCAAUGUGACGCCGUAAGGAACCUUAUGGAAUAUAGUCUAGCCCCUCUCUGUCACCUGUGCGGCCUCCUACCUGUCGCAAAGAAGCCAUUAAGCCUUCUCAUGAUUUUGAUCAGGGUUUGAGAGGGGUGAGGUGAGAGAGGGGGCUAGAAUGGGUGGGGAUGGAAGAGGUGUAGAGAUUAAGGGUAGUUGAAG